This 205-nucleotide ribosomal RNA is filed under the name Serratia sp. TKO39. Its description in RNAcentral is "partial 16S ribosomal RNA". It matches the Rfam family "Bacterial small subunit ribosomal RNA", at positions 1 to 210 of the family's 1533-position model. The record is from RNAcentral. Lineage: Bacteria; Pseudomonadati; Pseudomonadota; Gammaproteobacteria; Enterobacterales; Yersiniaceae.
UUAAUUGAAGAGUUUGAUCAUGGCUCAGAUUGAACGCGGGCGGCAGGCUUAACACAUGCAAGUCGAGCGGUAGCACAAGAGAGCUUGCUCGCGUGUGUACGAGCGCAGUACGGGUGAGUAAUUGCUGGGAAACUGCCUGAUGGAGGGGGAUAACUACUGGAAACGGUAGCUAAUACCGCAUAACGUCGCAAGACCAAAGAGGGGG